This is a non-coding RNA of Desulfotomaculum sp. 46_296, 93 nucleotides long. NCBI's taxonomy places the organism in Bacteria, Bacillati, Bacillota, Clostridia, Eubacteriales, Desulfotomaculaceae. The record is from Rfam.
GGAGAGAUGGCCGAGUUGGUCGAAGGCGCUCGCCUGGAGAGCGAGUAGACGGGCAUAAAACUUGUCUCGGGGGUUCGAAUCCCUCUCUCUCCG